This is a long non-coding RNA of Myotis myotis, 3765 nucleotides long. RefSeq lists it as uncharacterized. NCBI's taxonomy places the organism in Eukaryota, Metazoa, Chordata, Mammalia, Chiroptera, Vespertilionidae. The record is from RefSeq and is a predicted model, not a curated record. The transcript is spliced from 3 exons.
GAUCUGAAAGGGAGAUAUAAAAAACAGAAAAUGUGUAUUUACAGUGGGAACCAACAUGGAUGGUACCUAUAGAUCAUAAAGCAAAGCAAGAGUAAAUUUAUAAAGAUGCCCAAAUGAUUCAUCUAUAAGCCUAACAUCUAGAUUAUGCCUAACUAACAUCAGCAUUUGUACAUAUUGAAUAAUAAACCCAGAAAAUUUAAAAAAUAUUAAAAUAGAAGGGUCUAAAAAUGCUAGUUUCUAGACUCAAAAGAAGAUUCAAAGUCUCACUAUACACUCAUCUUUCUAAUAUUUAAUAAAUGAAAUGCUUCAACAUAGAACUGAGCAUAAAUAUAAGAAUUUUAGGAAGAAUGCCUUAUUUCAGAAAAACCUCAUAAUAAUGAAAAUUCAUUUGUGCUAAUGUAUUUAGUAUUUCCUAUGUAAUAAGCACUGUCUAGACAUGGGACAAGCAGCCAGAAAGGAACAGAAACUCAUUAUCCUGCAGAGUUUAUAUUCCAGUGAUCAGUCGACCAUAUUCUAUCAUCAGCUCCCAAAUUUCUAUCACAAAGCUAGUGUCUCCUCCACUAAUAAGGCCACACUUUUUAACUUUUACACAACUCAAUUUAGUUCAUUCUGAGACAUGCUACCCAAAAUUUUUUCCAUAGUACUUACAUAGAAAAGUACUACUGAUGUUUUUAAAAUUCAUUGCUACUGCAUAAAUAUCUUAAGUUAAAGGAAGUGUUUAUAAGUUACUUUACUCUGCAGCAAAAGUGAAAAAUACCUGGUCUAUGUUUACAGAAAGGUUAGAAAAACUUCCUCAGGCAACUCCAAAAUUUAAGGACCUGGGGGAAAACCAGCUGGUUGCAGGGCACCAAAGGGAUUCAGAAGCCUAAAAUACUUUAGGAUUAUUCUAUGAGCUUCAACUGUUACAUUCCCGCACCCCCCUCUCCCCGCCCCUAAAUCCAUAAAAAAAUCAACCCACUCUCUCCAGAACUUUCUUUCCAGAACAGCUGUUCCAAGCAAAACCAAAGGUAAUUCCUGUUGUGGACUGAAACAAAUGAGCAAGUCUACCAAAGGUUAUUUGGAUCCCUGAAUCUCCCUAAGACCGGUUCUUUCAACAGAUCUUUGGCCAGGCCAGUUCUAUUUAUAAGAGAGGAAAGGCCAGUGGGGUGGGGGAGGAGCAGCAGCUCAGACUUAAAAACAAACACUCCAAAAUAAACAUUUCACUGCUGCAUUUGAGCCAUCCCCUCCAACAACUCUUUGGUACUUGUUACAUAAUUAUAUACAUUCCAAAAAUGAAAACAAAAAUAUCUAGGAAAGAGUGGCAAUGAGGAGCUUUGUGUUUUCCCAGAAACUUGAGGGAAGGAGAAAGCAUUGCUGACUCGCUCCAAAUUCAGUAAUAAGUUAUGCCCAAUGAAGUGAGCCAGGACCUAUUUUCUUUUUACCCUUCCAGGUGACUCUGUUUCACAAUUACUACAGAUUCCCAGGUCCUUGGGGUGAUCCCAAGUGCAUGAAGAAAGGAUACUAGUAUUUUUGGCUAUGACACUGAAGACAUGAGACCAGUAAUCUGAACCAGCCCUUGCUCCAAAGGAGCCUUUCUCAAACACUCUUUUGUAAUGGUGGAGUCUUCCCCUCUCCACUCAGGAAUAUAGAUUUAUCAACAGCAAGAGCCACGUACGCAGGCUAGUGACAUUGUAUCAUCAAUAAUAAACAUAACCACAGGCAGAAGAGAUCUGUAAUUCCACUACCGUUGGGAAGUCCUCCAGCACUUGUCGAUGCUUCUCCUUGCUCUCCAUGAACCGCCAGUCAGGUUCAUAAAGGUAAGAGUGAAAGUUGUGUAACAGUGGGACUUUUUUUUCUAUACUGAUGGUCAUGUCAUCUUCCAGAGUGUCCAGAGCUCGGAGAACCAGAUAAAAUAUACAUACUGCAUUGCUGUAAUAAAGGAAGAACUAUUAAUGUAUUGGAACAAACUUCCAAAUAUAUUUAUUUUGAAAUAACAUCUCAUUUAUACCAGGCCAUUUUCUAAACCCUUAACUCUACAGAACUUGGAAAGAAUAUCCAGCCUUUCAUACUUGAGAUAUCUUAGUUUUCUUUUCUUAGAUGGCAGCAAUGGACUUCUGUAGUUUAUUUAUAAAAAUAAAAUAAAAUAAACUUAUCAGCUGGAUGUCAUUACUACUCCCAGAAUGAGUUACAAUUAACUAAUGUAGAAUUGUACAAAGGCCAAAAGACCAAAUGUUUAGAUGGAACUAAUAUUUUUCAGAUAAAAAAAUUAAGUCAAAAGACACAACUUCUUAAUAUAAAUACUAUCAUACAUAAAGGCAAUUGGCUUAAAUUCAUGUACAUAUGUAAUAUGCACAGAGGCAACUUGUCAAGAAUUAACCCGGCAAACUAGAAAUAUAGAGAAGCCUAAGUGAAGCCAAGAAAAAUGCAUGGCCUGCUCAGAGACAAGUUCGCCCGCUAGGGCUAAGAAAAGUUAAUAAACACCCCCGCCUCCUCCCCAAAGAGCUGGGCCUGCAUGAAUAAUAUUAGAUGGCAAGGUGCCUGGAAGGGCAGCCUAAAGUAAACACAUGGGCACUUCGACAGGGAACAUUUCCUUUAUUCAAGUGGCACAAAUUAUGCUUAACCAACCACGAACACACAGUGCAAUGCUAGUGGCGAUCUAUGUCAACAAGUUGCUUGUAAUGACUCUAAGCCCUCCGGAAAGCUUUCCUUCUCAAGUCAACAGGGGCUACCCCCGCUACUCACCGCAUUUCUUCAUCCAGCGCCUGGAUAACGGCUGCGAAACUGCGACUGGUCUGAUGCAGGUACUUGUAACAAGUCUUCAGGCUGCUGCUGAGCGAGUCCUGCGGGCAGAGAAGGCACACGGAGGUAGCAGUUGUCGAGGAGCAGGAGUGGGACUGGGGCAGGAAGCCGGCAGCCGCUGGACGCCGUAGCCGAGCGCAGACGCCCUCUCCCCGAGUCCAGUCUUUGGAAGGCCAGGGACAACAGCGCGAGGGGGUGCCCGCGCCCUUAGGCGCCGCGGCGGGGCUCAGCACCAAGGUCCGCUUGAAGAGGGACAUGGCCUUGGUGCCGCAGGCGGCUGCGGCCAUCAGAAUUGUGCAGCUUGCGCCAAGUUUUCCUCCAUAGACCCAAGCGGAGCUGGGAGGCGCCCACCGAGGAGGCGGGGCGGGCUCUCCCUCCACCCCAAUAGGCUGGGGGCUGGCCGAGCGGGGAGCAGGCGUUCGCGUGCCCCGCCCCCCGCCCCCCAAACGCGAAUCCCGCCGCGAGCCCCGAGGCCGGCCACGCCCCACGGUUGGCCAGGCCCCUCUGCCCCGCUUGCAACCCCUUGCGCCGCAUUCCCCUUCUCCCCAGAACCCACAGGCUGCUAAGGAAACAAGUCCACUUUUAAGAAGCUUGCUUUUUCGUCCCCGACAGCAUCUCUCCGUGGGCAAACUUUAGUCAGGCUCCUUUGAAUCCUCCACAUUUCCACUUGUGUGUCUAUCUUUGCAUCGCCCAAUUUUAGCAAAAAUCCUGCUAAACUGCUUUGAUCAAACUUCCCAAAUCUGGGCACCAGAUCAGCCUCCCCGCCAUCCCCCAGCAAGAAACCCAUUAAGUCGUUGUGCCAGAAAGCCCUUGUCCCAGAUGUUUCCUCUUAGAAAUUUUCUCUCCAUCGACCCUUCCACUCUGCCUGCUCCUUGACUAUAAAUGUCCACUUUUUCUUUUAUUCAGAAUUGAGCCCAGUUCUAUACGGAGGUUUCUUUCCCCUAUUGCACUAGCUUUUUUGAAUAAAAUCUGUUUUCACCACUUUAA